RNAcentral lists this ribosomal RNA (660 nucleotides) under Pseudomonas sp. RNAcentral describes it as "bacterial SSU rRNA". It matches the Rfam family "Bacterial small subunit ribosomal RNA", at positions 37 to 693 of the family's 1533-position model. Lineage: Bacteria; Pseudomonadati; Pseudomonadota; Gammaproteobacteria; Pseudomonadales; Pseudomonadaceae. The record is from RNAcentral.
UGGGGUCGUGAAGGCUACACAUGCAGUCGAGCGGAUGAAGGGAGCUUGCUCCUGGAUUCAGCGGCGGACGGGUGAGUAAUGCCUAGGAAUCUGCCUGGUAGUGGGGGAUAACGUCCGGAAACGGGCGCUAAUACCGCAUACGUCCUGAGGGAGAAAGUGGGGGAUCUUCGGACCUCACGCUAUCAGAUGAGCCUAGGUCGGAUUAGCUAGUUGGUGGGGUAAAGGCCUACCAAGGCGACGAUCCGUAACUGGUCUGAGAGGAUGAUCAGUCACACUGGAACUGAGACACGGUCCAGACUCCUACGGGAGGCAGCAGUGGGGAAUAUUGGACAAUGGGCGAAAGCCUGAUCCAGCCAUGCCGCGUGUGUGAAGAAGGUCUUCGGAUUGUAAAGCACUUUAAGUUGGGAGGAAGGGCAGUAAGUUAAUACCUUGCUGUUUUGACGUUACCAACAGAAUAAGCACCGGCUAACUUCGUGCCAGCAGCCGCGGUAAUACGAAGGGUGCAAGCGUUAAUCGGAAUUACUGGGCGUAAAGCGCGCGUAGGUGGUUCAGCAAGUUGGAUGUGAAAUCCCCGGGCUCAACCUGGGAACUGCAUCCAAACUACUGAGCUAGAGUACGGUAGAGGGUGGUGUAAUUUCCUGUGUAGCGUGAAAUGCGUAG